Molecule: long non-coding RNA, 6731 nt
Filed under: Salmo salar (Atlantic salmon)
Lineage: Eukaryota; Metazoa; Chordata; Actinopteri; Salmoniformes; Salmonidae
Description: lncRNA (ENSSSAG00000103718.1)
Source: RNAcentral
UAACAACAUUUUUUUUUACGUAUAAUUUUACUCCGAUACAUUUCCCCUGACAGCUUCGUUACUCGCUUCACAAUCAAAUCAAUCUGAAGCUGGAAGAAGAAAAUGAUUCAUGUUGGAAAAAAGAAGCAAGCAAUGGCGCACCCAUGGGUGAACUUGUUUUGCAAGGCAGCAUUCGACGACAUGCACCCACCGGGAGCAUGUCACUUGCAAAACAGUCAUCCACUCAGCAGUACUUUGCCCAAGCAAGUCCGAAAUAGCACAAUCAGGCCUGAAAUCGUUCUACCACCACCACCUCCUGAUGAGGACGAACACCCUUGGCCAUAUCUAAAAUAAAUGUUUUAUUUUCUCAGAAUGAAGGAAUCAUCCUACAGGAUGAAAUGUCUGUUAUGUUUACUAAAAGUUCAGGAAAUACUAGCGUUCGAGAACUCGCCGUCGAAUCGAAAAUUUAAUCUAAGAACACAUUGAGGUAAGCCUACUGUUAGCUUGCCAGCUAGCUAGAAUAAUGUUAGCAUGCUAGCUAACAUUAGCUAACCUAGCUAGCUUGCCCACAGUUACUAAUGCAACAAGCCGUGUUAGUUGAUGCUAGUUAAUCCUAUACCUAAAUAGUUCACUAGCUAGUAGCUACCUACUUUAACUGAAGCUUUGUUAGCUAAUGCAAUCUAAAUAAACUAACGUUCGCUAACUAGCUAGCGUAGUAGUUUUUGAAUCUGGGCACAUUUUAGUCAGCUAACGUUAGUCUAGCCAAAUACAUUUUCUCUAAACACCCCUGGUCAAGCUAGCUAGCUAACGUUAACAUUCAAAUGUUAGCUAACACCCACUAGCUUAGCUAGUUAGCUAGCCAUUUUAUUAAUUGUGUUAGUUGAUCAAUUUGUUCUUCUUACCUAGCUAAUUACUGUAGACUUAAGAUAUUGACAUAACCUACAAACUAGAUCAAUGAAAUUUUUUUACAUUUUACAUGUUUACAAUUAACAUUGUAAAAUUAAAUGGUCACAAAUUCUCACUUAACUAAUGUUGUUUAUAUGUUUAAAAUUAGGAUCCUAUACCUUAAGUAUUGUGGUGAAGUAUGUAGUCCAAGGGCUCCAAACAUUCACUGUUGUAGAACAAGAACCGUUCAGAGAGUUUGUCCAGGAUCUGCAGCCUAACUCAAAGAUCAUAUCAAGACCCUCUCUGCGCUCCAGGGUUGUUGAUAACCUCCAAGAAAAUGAAGAAGGUGACUGAGGCCAUGACAAGUUGACCACAUCGCCACCACCACUGACUGCUGAUCUGCAAGAAGACGGAAAUUCAUUGGUGUUACAGCCCAUUGGAUAGACCCUGAAAGUCUCAACAGAUGCUCUGCAGCCCUGGCCUGUAAACGGUUGAGAGGCUCGCACACCUUUGUUGGUAGGCGCCAUAAAUUACAUAAAUUCUCAGUUCGAAAUUCAGGGUAAGAUUGUGAGAACAACAGACAUCGGCUUUAACUUCUUGAAAGCUUUCCAAGUUUUUUAAGAAGACGAAAAUAACGAGGCAGUCGAUGUGAUGGUGUUGAAGCAGCUCAGCAAGGACAGGAAGAUGAUGAAGAGGAGGAACAAGAGGAGAGUGAAGAAGUGGAGUUUGUUUAUGUGGCAACAAUCCUGAAUGAAGAUGAUAGUUUUGAGGACCAGCUGCCGAAGCACCAGCGUUGUGUUAGACACCUACUCAACUUAGUAUCUACAUUCGAUGCCCUGAAAGCAUACAAAAAAAGUGUCCUGUUCAAUAUUUGGCAAGUGCCAAGCACUUUGGAACAAAUGAGGAAGAUCCACACUUGCAGCCGAAACGGUUGAAGAUGCUUGGGACCUCCAGAUGCUGCGCCCGAAUGCUACAAGGUGAAACUCAUGGUUCAUGGCUGUAGAAAGGCUCUUGUGGAUCAUCAAAGACAAAGAGAGGCUGCCGUCAGAGUUCUCUGCACAGACAUCGAGGUUUGAAUAAUCUUCCCUGAUGAGUCCUGCCUCUGCCAGUGCUGUGAUGGGUGGUUCAGACCGUGAGUCGGAUGAUACAAUAAUUUUGAGCGAGGAUGGAAGCCCCUCACGAAAGCCUCAAAGAUCUGAUGACGAAGCAAAAAAUCUAAUAGAGGGCAUACUGAAGAAAAAGCCUGGUGGAGAGGUGGUCAUCAAGGAAUACUCCAAAACUAACGGCCUGACUGACUGCACCAGACGAAAGAUGAUCAACAUUCUUGUUUUGGAGAUGACAGAUUCACGGACAUCACCAUCGCGCAGUGUGAGAGAAACGUUUCCACAAGGCAUUGUCUCCUUGUUCCCAUACCUGAAGGAUCCCUACACCACAAAUUGAUAUGAACAUUAUUACCACCCUACUAGUGGAGGAGGGUACCUCUCGUAUAGAAUCAAAACCGUUCAGAGGAAUUUGGCUUCAUCUGAGAAACGGCCCACUCAACUAUACUAUGGAUUGCCAACUGCUGAGAGGGAGUCCAGUCCAUCCACUUUGGCUACUCUGAGUGAAGACUGGUGCAGAGAGACCGUUUCUCUUAUGAAGCAUUCUUCUGAUGAAGAAACAGUCAAACAGAAGAUGAAAUUGACCUUUGGGUACAGGAAGAAGAUGACCCACGACCUGAGUAAAUGCUCCACCAUUCUAACCAAAUUUCCACGCUUUCUGGAUGUGAAGGGCUUAGUAAGACUUAAGUUGUAUACAUUUUGUUGAAUUUCCAGAUGCCAUUUGAGGUUGGCCAGUAAAUUUAAACAAAAACAACACUUCCGUAAUAGUAGCUCAAUUAAUGUGUAGGCUGGGGCUUUACUCAAACUCUGUUUUGGAGGUUCAAAUGGAAUGUUUUAUGAGAAAGAAAUGUACUUGCACAAAACAAAUGUUUUGUUCUUUGUCUUAUUUGUUUCAUGAUUGAACAGAUUUUUGUGGUGCUGUUUUUUGAGGGAACAUCAGCCACGUUUUUGGAGAGGUGGCCAACUAUAAUCAAGCAUGAAUGCUGAUGGUUAGAUGAUCAUAAUUUGUCAUUUACACUACCGUUCAAAGGUUUGGGGUCACUUAGAAAUGUCCUUGUUUUUGAAAGAAAAGCUUAUUUUUUUUGUCCAUUAAAAUAACAUCAAAUUGAUCAGAAAUACAUUGUAGACGUUGUUAAUGUUGUAAAUUGCUAUUGUAGCUGGAAAAGGCUGAUUUUUAUUGGAAUAUCUACAUACAGAGGCACAUUAUCACCAACCAUCACUCCUGUGUUCGAUUACAGGCUCAAAAUGGCCAGAAACAAAGACCUUCCUUCUGAAACUCAUCGGUCUAUUCUUGUUCUGAGAAAUGAAGGCUACUCCAUGCGAGAAAUUGCCAAGAAACUGAAGAUCUCGUACAAAGCUGUGUACUACUCCCUGCAGAGAACAGCACAAACUGGCUCUAACCAGAAUAGAAAGAGGAGUGGGAGGCCCCGGUGCACAACUGAGCAAGAGGACAAGUACAUUACAGUGUCUAGUUUGUGAAACAGACACUUAACAAGUCCUCAACUGGCAGCUUUAUUAAAUAGUACCCGCAAAACACCAGUCUCAAUGUCAACAGUGAAGAGGCGACCCCAGAAUGCUGGCCUUCUAGGCAGAGUUCCUCUGUCCAGUGUCUGUGUUCUUUUGCCCAUCUUAAUCUUUUCUUUUUGUUGGCCAGUCUGGGAUAUGGCAUUUUCUUUGCAACUCUUCCUAGAAGGCCAGCAUCCUUCAUUAACCUGUUGAGGGUAGGGGGCAGUAUUUGCACGGCCGGAUAAAAAACGUACCCGAUUUAAUCUGGUUAUUACUACUGCCCAGAAACUAGAAUAUGCAUAUAAUUAUUGGCUUUGGAUAGAAAACACCCUAAAGUUUCUAAAACUGUUUGAAUGGUGUCUGUGAGUAUAACAGAACUCAUAUGGCAGGCAAAAACCUGAGAAGAUUCUGUACAGGAAGUGCCCUCUCUGACCAUUCCUUGGGCUUCUUGACUCUUUUUAUUGAAAACUUAGGAUCUUUGCUGUAACGUGACACUUCCUACGGCUCCCAUAGGCUCUCAGAACCCAGGAAAAACCUGAAUGACGUCUUUGCAGCCCCUGGCUGAAAAACAUUAGCGCCUUUGGUAAGUAGUCUAUCAGAGGACAAUGAGACUGAGGCGCGUGCACGAGGUGACCCCAUGUUUUUAUUUUCUCUCUCUUUGUACUAAAACACGGUUUCCCGGUUGGAAUAUUAUCGCUUUUUUACGAGAAAAAUGGCAUAAAAAUUGAUUUUAAACAGCGGUUGACAUGCUUCGAAGUACGGUAAUGGAAUAUUUAGAAUUUUUUUGUCACGAAACGCGUCGGGCGCAUCACCUUUCGGAUAGUGUCUUGAACGCACGAACAAAACGCCACUAUUUGGAUAUAACUAUGGAUUAUUUUGAACCAAACCAACAUUUGUUAUUGAAGUAGAAGUCCUGGGAGUGCAUUCUGAUGAAGAACAGCAAAGGUAAUAACAUAUUUCUUAUAGUAAAUCUGACUUUGGUGAGGGCUAAACUUGGUGGGUGUCUAAAUAGCUAGCCCUGUGAUGCCGGGCUAUCUACUUAGAAUAUUGCAAAAUGUGCUUUCACCGAAAAGCUAUUUUAAAAUCGGACAUAGCGAGUGCAUAGAGGAGUUCUGUAUCUAUAAUUCUUAAAAUAAUUGUAUGUUUUUUGUGAACGUUUAUCGUGAGUAAUUUUGUAAAUUCACUGGAAGUUUGCGGGGGGAGGUAUGCUAGUUCUGAACGUCACAUGCUAAUGUAAAAAGCUGGUUUUUGAUAUAAAUAUGAACUUGAUUGAACAAAACAUGCAUGUAUUGUAUAACAUAAUGUCCUAGGAUUGUCAUCUGAUGAAGAUCAUCAAAGGUUAGUGCUGCAUUUAGCUGUGGUUUGGGUUUAUGUGACAUGCUAGCUUGAAAAAUGUGUGUCUGAUUAUUUCUGGCUGGGUACUCUGCUGACAUAAUCUAAUGUUUUGCUUUCGUUGUAAAGCCUUUUUGAAAUCGGACAGUGUGGUUAGAUUAACGAGAGUCUUGUCUUUAAAAUUGUGUAAAAUAGUCAUAUGUUUGAGAAAUUGAAGUAAUAGCAUUUCUAAGGUAUUUGAAUAACGCGCCACGGGAUUCCACUGGCUGUUACAUAGGUGGGACGAAAUCGUCCCACUGGCCCUAGAGAGGUUAAAGCAUAAUUAUAUUUUGUCUGUAAGUACUUUUAUUGCUUCUUUAAUCAGAACAACAGUUUUCAGCUGUGCAAACAUAAUUGCAAAAGGGUUUUCUAAUGAUCAAUUAGCCUGCUAAACUUGGAUUAGCUAACACAACGUGCCAUUGGAGCACAGGAGUGAUGGUUGCUGAUAAUGGGCCUCUGUACGCCUAUGUAGAUAUUCCAUUAAAAUAUCUGCUGUUUUCAUCUACAAUAGUCAUUUACAACAGUAACAAUGUCUACACUGUAUUUUUCAUCAAUUUGAUGUUAUUUAAAAAAAAAAAAAAUUUCUUUCAAAAACAAGAUUUCUAAGUUACCCCAAAUUUCAAAUCAAAUGAAAUGUAUUUGUCACAUACACAUGGUUAGCAAGUGAAAUUGCAGAGCGCAAAAUUCAAAAUACAAAAAUCAUAAUAUUAAACAUUCAUGAAAAUACAAGUGUCAUACAUCAUUUAAAAUCUUAACUUCUUGUUAAUCCAGCCGCUUUGUCAGAUUUCAAAAAGGCUUUACGGCGAAAGCAUACUAUGCGAUUAUCUGAGGACAGCGCCCCGUGUACAAAAGCAUUAAAAACAUUUUCCAAACCAGCAGAGGCAUCACGAAAGUCAGAAAUAGCGAUAAAAUAAAUCACUUACCUUUCAAGAUCAACCUCUGUUUUCAAUCCCAAGGGUCCCAGCUACAUAACAAAUGGUCGUUUUGUUUGAUAAAGUCCUUCUUUAUAUCCCAAAAAGGUCAGUUUAUUUGGCGCACUUGAUUCAGUAAUCCACCUGUUCCCCUCGUUCAAAAUGCAUACAAAGAAUCCCAAAAGUUACCAAUAAACUUCGUCCAAACAAGUCAAACAACAUUUCUAAUCAAUCCUCAGUUACCCUAAUAUGUAAAUAAACGAUAAAAUUUAAGACGGAGAAUAGUAUGUUCAUUACCGGAGAUAAAUAAUGAAGUGCGUGCCCUCAUCCACACGCGCCAAAAGACGACAGUCAAAAUGAGAGCCACCUAGAAAAACUACAAAUUCUAGCUCAUUUUUCAAAAAACAAGCCUGAAACCCUUUCUAAAGACAUCUAGUGGAAGCCAUAGGAACUGCAAUCUGGGAGGAUUUCCUUUUAUUUUCCCAUAGACAGCCAUUUCAACGGGUGGUGACCUCAAAAAGAUUAUCCUCGGGUUUUCACCUGCCUUAUCAGUUCUGUUGUACUCACAGACAUUAUGUUAACAGUUUUAGAAACUUCAGAGUGUGUUCUAUCCAAAACUACCAAUUAUAUGCAUAUCCUAGCUUCUGGGCCUGAGUAACAGGCAGUUUACUUUGGGCACCUCAGUCAUCCGAACUUCCGAAUAUUGCCCCCUAUAGUAAAGUCAUGACUGUGGCGAUGUCCUCUUAAUCCUACAGUGAGGUUGUGUGCAGAUCUGUACAUGUACUUUUGAUGAGCUCAUCAUCUACAUAGUAUUUUUCAAUAUAUAUGGUUCUAUUAUAGGAGGUGUUUUCUAAAGCAAAGGGACUGAUUGUAAGUGCUUAUGUUUACUGGCUAUAUUCCUUCAUUAAACCAUAAGUGUUGCCUAAUUGAGAAUCCACCUUUUUUUAUCUGAGCACUUCUUUCAUCUGUAAGACUAACU